Molecule: ribosomal RNA, 460 nt
Filed under: uncultured bacterium
Lineage: Bacteria
Description: partial 16S ribosomal RNA
Rfam family: Bacterial small subunit ribosomal RNA
Source: RNAcentral
CCUACGGGUGGCUGCAGUGAGGAAUAUUGGUCAAUGGACGAGAGUCUGAACCAGCCAAGUAGCGUGAAGGAUGACUGCCCUAUGUGUUGUAAACUUCUUUUAUAUGGGAAUAAAAUGUUCCACGUGUGGGAUUUUGUAUGUACCAUAUGAAUAAGGAUCGGCUAACUCCGUGCCAGCAGCCGCGGUAAUACGGAGGCUCCGAGCGUUAUCCGGAUUUAUUGGGUUUAAAGGGAGCGUAGGUGGAUUGUUAAGUCAGUUGUGAAAGUUUGCGGCUCAACCGUAAGAUUGCAGUUGAAACUGGCAGUCUUGAGUAAAGUAGAGGUGGGCGGAAUUCGUGGUGUAGCGGUGAAAUGCUGAGAUAUCACGAAGAACUCCGAGUGCGAAGGCAGUUCACUGGACUGCAACUGACACUGAGGCUCGAAAGUGUGGGUAUCAAACAGGAUUAGAUACCCGAGUAGUC